AAGUCGUAACAAGGUUUCCGUAGGUGAACCUGCGGAAGGAUCAUUACCAAAUCCAAAUACCCAAACCCCAUGUGAACUAUUGUAUAGUCUGUCUUUGGGAGAAAAGCAUCCAAGAAAAAUUAGCUUUUAUUAGCUCUUUUUUCUUGGAUUUUUCUCCCAAUAGAGUCCGGCGCAACUUUAUUGUUGUGUCCAGAUUCGAAACCCUAAACCACUUGAUUUUUCUGUUGGAAUUUUCUUUUUAUAAUUUUAAAUAAAAGACAACUUUUAACAACGGAUCUCUUGGCUCUC
RNAcentral lists this unclassified non-coding RNA (288 nucleotides) under fungal sp. RNAcentral's name for it is "partial internal transcribed spacer region". The stretch from base 1 to 46 matches the Rfam family "Eukaryotic small subunit ribosomal RNA", at positions 1786 to 1831 of the family's 1831-position model. The record is from RNAcentral. Lineage: Eukaryota; Fungi.